RNAcentral lists this non-coding RNA (187 nucleotides) under Myxococcales bacterium. RNAcentral's name for it is "6S RNA". It matches the Rfam family "6S / SsrS RNA". Rfam says of the family: E. coli 6S RNA was the first non coding RNA to be sequenced, but its function was unknown until recently. Lineage: Bacteria; Pseudomonadati; Myxococcota; Myxococcia; Myxococcales. The record is from RNAcentral.
GUCCCUCUGCGGGGCGCGUGAGACGGAACGAGAAUCCCUGACUGGGUCGAACAGGGGGUCAUCCCUCAUCCGUGGUGAGCCAGCCCGGCUUCAUUCUCCGGGAAGCCUGAAGCGGAUGACACCGGCCCCCACCUACGAAUGAGUAGGGGUUCGGCUUCCAAUCAUCCACGGCCCAUGCGGUAAGGAC